UUCGACAACUCUGAGAACAUUGCAGGCAAGAUAUCAUACCCUCGAUGUCACUUCUAUCUUUGAUUGCUAUUUGUUCGCUCUAUCGCUAAGUUGCGCUACCUAACACUUGUUAUAUCAUGCCUCCCAUAUUGCCAUGUCAAGCAUCUAACCCACCUUCCUAGCAAACCGUUGUUUGGCUAUGUUACCGCUUUUUUUAGCCCCUCUUAUAGCGCUGUUAGUUGCAGGUGAAGUUGAAGUUUGUUCCAUGUUGGAACAUGGAUAUGUUGGGAUAUCACUUUAUCUCUUAUUUAAUAAACUAGCAAAGUGCCCCGCUCGAUGCGCGGGCUAGAUCUUUUGAAAGUUUAAUAAUGAGAGUAUGUUAUUUGUAUUGAAAAAUUGGGACCAAAUAUAAUUACAUUUGAAAUAUAGUACUUUUGCGAACAUAGUUCUAUAUAUAUUCUCCAUUUAUUACUUACAUGCCUAGUAUGCAUGUCAUAGUAAAUGUAUUUUCAUGAUGAAUCCCGCUGGCCAAUUCAUGUUCUGUAUAUUUUUUCUAGCAUUUCCUCUUUAAACAUUGAGUUAUUUGCACGGGCUAGUACUUAACAAAAUUUAGUAACGCAAGAAUGUAAAUAUUGGUUAUUUUUGUCAGUUGUUCGUCAGUGGCGGUUGUAAACACAAUUUUACCUUUAUACAUAUCCUUGGUGGUUUUCCCUGUAGAGAACCUCCCUUCCAUGUUUUAGGAAAUAUUGGUCACUAACAUUCUCAUCAAAAUCUUCGGGAGUGCGUUGCUCCAACCCGUGGCUUUUCUUGAUGCGACCGCUCAAAUGGAUCUUAUAAUUUUUUUGAAAGUCUCAUGCCCUUUUCAUUACUAAUGAAUUGGUGUUCGUCGUGUGUGGCAAUUUGACAUGAAAAUGGUAGUUCCAUAUGCAUAGUCUAAAUAUAAAUGAUUGGUACCGGAUAGAUAUUUUUUUAUGAUCAUGUACUAUAAUUCUUUUUGCAUGCAUUUGUUUAGAAUAUUCUGAGAGAAAAUUAUACUGUGAUUUAGGUUCAACCCACGUCGUGAACUCUAUCAUUAUAGUGCGUGUAUACUGUAAGUAAUCUUAGUUUAUGCGUAUGUAUAAGUGCAUGCGUCUGUAGUGUGUUAGGAAAUAUGUAUACUGCACAUAAUUGAAUUUGCAUUUUCUAUUAUUUCUACAUAAAGGAGAAUUUUUCUGGUGGAUUGAUUUGUUGUGCUUUAGCCCAACAGAUUCGCACUGACGUACCCAACGUUCAAGUCUUCUCUCGCACUCGUCGCCUCUAAAAAAAUCUUCUCUCGCACUCACACCUUGUCGUUUCUAAUCCUCAAAAAUAAAAUAAAAAAUGGUUACUGUUUCUUGAUCCCCUUUUCAUUUCCUUCUUUCCUCUCGCUCCUCCUUCAACCAGAUGAGCUCUGGCUGUUAUCGCUGGUAAUUGGUGCUGCGGAUUCAAUCCCAACAGCACCUCAGUUUUCUCUCUUGAUUCCCUGCCGCGACCUUGCUCGUACUCACUUGCACGCACACCUGCAGCUCAACUCACUGGUGCGGCCAUGGGGUUGCCGUCUACGGCACCUGGUUUGGCUCCUAUACGCCUCGUCAAUCUCUCAGACCGGUCAACGGCGACGGAGUGGUAGUAGGGCCCAAGGAGAAGUGGCUCUAGGGAGGAAGCGAGCUUGUCGAUCUCGACGGCCCCGUUGCCGUCGCCGUCCAUCCACGUGAUGUUGGUGUGGAUCUUGUCUCCCGCAACCAGCUUAGAUCCACCUUGAUUUUGAGAUGCCGACGGUGUUGUUUUCGAUCGCAUCGUGGCUGCCCCCGAGCGAGGCAGCCCGACAGUCACCUUCAUCUUACACUUGUAGGUCCUCUUCUCUCUUUUCCUGUCCCUCUCAUGUUUUUGUUUCUUAUCCUUCUUCUGCAUGUGUAUGGGUAAACUAAUGUAAUGCAAUUAAGGUAUUGCUUGUUAGGAUGUAUAUCUACUUAUGCCCCCUUGCCCCGUUCAUAUUCAACAAAUUUAGUAAGUAAUCAGUGUAUUCAUGAUUAGACCAAAGAUAAAGUUUAUAGGAAAAUAGGUGCGAUUGCAUCCUACAUAUGAACUAAAACAAUGUGUGGAUGUUGUAACUAUUGGCUUGUACUAUAGAAUAAGCUUAAAAUAUCAGAUAACACAGAGUGUCGACAUUUGGUAUUAUCCAGCUAUUUCCAUCAAAUGUUGAUGCAUGUUUCCAAUACUUCUAGGAGUAGUAGAUCAUAUCCAUUCUGCCAUAUAAUGCUAGCAUAGAAAAGUCAGUUUGUAUGUUGAAGACAGUUUUGUAGUGUACUAUUUUCCCAUCUACUUAUUUUAUCUAAAAGGCUAGUGGCAUAUGGAAGUUUGUUUUUGUUCCUACCUUUAGAUUAUUUCUGUGUAGACUAUGUUCUUGACCACAUCAUCCUUGUUGUUAGUUCAUUUGCUAUAGAAAUGAAAAUAACAGGUAUGAUCAAGUGAGUAGGCUAUUACUGGCAAGUGUUUUCUCAAAGUAUCUCCUUUUUCUUAUGUCCCUCAUGAACUCAUUGAGCUUUAUGUGGAACAUUCGAUCAACAAUAUCAGGCUUCUAUGAUGUUGUUUGGCCUACUUCCAUAAGCAUGGAUUGAAUAUCCAGCCAAGCUGCGUUGCAUGUGAAUGCCAUAAAUAGGUCUGUGUAUCAAGCCCAUCGACAUCUUGCUAUAGCAUCUUGGUAGUUUUGUGCUUGUAUCUGAGGUUAUCUAUGAGGCUAGAUGGAAGUAGUAUUCUCCUUCCUACCUUUGUCAGCCCUUGUAUCUCCUCUUUAUGUUGUGUCCUGCAAGUCAGCAUAUAAUUCUGCUCUUAUGUUUGCUUGAUGUUUUUUGAUCCAGUCUAGUCUGUACUACAAAAUGCAUGCAAGGGCAUCCAUUUUGAACUUCUGAAGUUGCUCUUUUGUUGAGGUUCUUCUCGCCUUAUAUGCAUGUCACAAGGCCCUUCUCAAGUUGCUCUUUCUUCAUACCAAAAUAUUGCACCACACCAUUCACACUUGUGGCUUGGACUUCCGAAGUCCCAAAUUUCCAUAUAUGUCCUUUUCAAUGUCCUGUUUAAGUUUCUGAAUUUAGCAUCAAUUGAAUAUUAGUAUGUUCUUUUUUCUUAAUAAUACAACAAACUUAAUAGAACUGACAUAUCUAGUUUUUCCGCCCUUGAUUUUUCUAUUUUACACUUUGUGUUACUUUUAGUCAUGUACACACGCUUAACCGAAUUACCAUGUUCAUGAAUGUCCAAAUUGUAGAUCUUGAUUGAAUUUUCUUGCUACUUACCAUGUAGUUUUACGAGCCAAUGCUUUCCUAUGGCAAUUCGACAAUGCUGAUUUUGCCUCGGUCAAUGCACAUGAUCGACAUCUGUACAUGAUAUGGUUCCCUGUGGUAAUUCAACAAUGUUGAUUUUGCCCUUGUCUUGAUUAAGCCAUGUUGCAUGGAAAUGUGUUUUCAUGUUUUUUUAAAAGCUGAUAGGUACAAUCAGGAACAAAUGCAACAUGUUUUUGUCAUUUAAUAUAGCACUUGGAAGGAAUGGAACACAUAGAUAUCACAAUUGAUGCGCAAAGAAGAAGCAAGCUAUAAUGUUGCUUCGAGUAUAUUGUACUACAGUCAUGCAACAUGUAAGGGAAGUUUAGCAAUUGAAUUAAGAACAGUAAGUUAAGAUAGUGGAUGAUAAUACACAUGAGAAUACCUUUGUGAUGAUUUUCUUAUCGCACGUGGUACGCAUAUUUGUGCAGUCUGGCACAUCUCCAUGUAUGAUCAAACGCUGUCUCUUUUUGUUGUCUUGAAGUUUCAUUGUCCUUUCCUAAUCCUGUCUUGGUAUUAUUGAUUGUCUGGAUUCACAUCAGUAUUAUAAUAAUUUUUUUCUGGCUUAAAUCAGUUAUAAACCCAAAUGUGCCAAACUUGAAUUAUUGCAUUAUAUAAUUUAGGUGUAACAUUUUUGUGAUAUCACUUAUUAGAAGUGCAUGAUUAGCAAUGGAUCACCUUGUUGGAUUGUAUAUUUGAUUGCUUUUAACUACCUUGGUAGGUUUCUCACAUUAUUGCAAUGUGGUCCACCUUUUAUUUUCAUCGUUUCUUCCUGCACAAUUUAGAAAACAUGUAUUAGAGAAGAUGAUAUUGUAAAAUUGGUAUGGAGUACUGCUGAAGGUUAUGGAGAUUUAUGAUUUUGAUUAAUUAUUCGCCUUACAAUUUUUUGUUUUGUUGUAGAAGAAAAGGAGAUCAACUUCCAAGAUCAGUUAUUGUGGUGAAAGCUUUAAUGUUAAAAUGGAUGUUAAGUUUCAAUCAUCAUGUGAAGACAGUGAGGGUCUUUUACCCUUCUGUUGCAGUUAGAUGACAGUCUAUAGAAAACCUUAUAUGGGUGAAGAAAUAGAUUGUGAUUGAGGAUGGCAAGUUCAUGUACAAUUACGAUUGAAGAAUCGCAAGGGAACUUGCCUGAUCUAAAUUUGAAAGCUAUUUGAUUAUUUACCUUGAGUUGAAACGUGGUGUGUACCUUUGAUCAUGUUCCUCUGUGAUUUCCAUGGUGAUUGGGAAUCAAGUGGUGUAGACAAGAUGAGGAGGACUUGGAAUGAGAGGAGCCAUGGCAAGCUAGCAUUGAAGGAUGAAGGGACUCACACAGGUGAUCUUCCAACAUAGAUGUGAUGGUAGAUGUGUUUUCUAUUGGAUUGAAAGGAGGGAGGUGGUCCUCAUGUAGAUAAAAGAGAUAUGCUAUGUAUUCUAUUUUUUCUUUUCUAUUGAGAGGUACUUCCAUUUUCUCUAUGGUAGCCCAGAGGUGGAAACGUGGGAUCACGUUAUAAAAAUCGGUUGGUCCUAACUAAUUGAUCACUGGAACAUAAAUUAAUUGAUUGUUGGAAAAACUAAUCUUUUUU
This 4867-nucleotide long non-coding RNA is filed under the name Triticum aestivum (bread wheat). RNAcentral's name for it is "long non-coding RNA (TAES_LNC019775)". Lineage: Eukaryota; Viridiplantae; Streptophyta; Magnoliopsida; Poales; Poaceae. The record is from RNAcentral.